This 315-nucleotide long non-coding RNA is filed under the name Homo sapiens (human). Its description in RNAcentral is "non-protein coding lnc-BTF3-3:1". The record is from RNAcentral. Lineage: Eukaryota; Metazoa; Chordata; Mammalia; Primates; Hominidae.
GCCAUUUCAAGGGCUGACGCCUGGAAAACACCGCCAGGCCCCUGGCCGAAGGAGUUACUUCUGGAGACAAAAAAAAAAAAAACAAAAAACGCCAAGACCCAAACUUGGUGAUUUGGAAGCAGUUCCUUAGCAAUGACAACUUAAAGGUGAAAUAAAUGCAGAAAAACUCUUGGGUGCUUAUGCACCACCCCCCGUGGUCCAAAACCUGGAUUUGCUGUCUGCCUUUUGAAGAUGCGACUACAACUUCAGCAAGUGGGAAAGUGUUUAUUUAAAAGUUUAGCAAGGAAAAUAUACCUGGUUUAAUUUUAAUUUUUU